UCCACAUCGGUGUAUUUUGAUC
Molecule: non-coding RNA, 22 nt
Filed under: Arabidopsis thaliana (thale cress)
Lineage: Eukaryota; Viridiplantae; Streptophyta; Magnoliopsida; Brassicales; Brassicaceae
Source: RNAcentral